RNAcentral lists this ribosomal RNA (493 nucleotides) under uncultured bacterium. RNAcentral describes it as "partial 16S ribosomal RNA". It matches the Rfam family "Bacterial small subunit ribosomal RNA", at positions 27 to 507 of the family's 1533-position model. The record is from RNAcentral.
GAGUGAACGCUGGCGGUAGGCCUAACACAUGCAAGUCGAACGGCAGCACAGUAAGAGCUUGCUCUUACGGGUGGCGAGUGGCGGACGGGUGAGGAAUACAUCGGAAUCUACUUUUUCGUGGGGGAUAACGUAGGGAAACUUACGCUAAUACCGCAUACGACCUACGGGUGAAAGCAGGGGAUCUUCGGACCUUGCGCGAUUGAAUGAGCCGAUGUCGGAUUAGCUAGUUGGCGGGGUAAAGGCCCACCAAGGCGACGAUCCGUAGCUGGCCUGAGAGGAUGAUCAGCCACACUGGAACUGAGACACGGUCCAGACUCCUACGGGAGGCAGCAGUGGGGAAUAUUGGACAAUGGGCGCAAGCCUGAUCCAGCCAUACCGCGUGGGUGAAGAAGGCCUUCGGGUUGUAAAGCCCUUUUGUUGGGAAAGAAAAGCAGCAGGUUAAUACCCCGCUGUUCUGACGGUACCCAAAGAAUAAGCACCGGCUAACUUCGUG